This 624-nucleotide ribosomal RNA is filed under the name Volutella sp. OTU030 AN-2016. RNAcentral's name for it is "eukaryotic LSU rRNA". The stretch from base 241 to 394 matches the Rfam family "5.8S ribosomal RNA". Lineage: Eukaryota; Fungi; Ascomycota; Sordariomycetes; Hypocreales; Nectriaceae. The record is from RNAcentral.
UUUUCUGUUCCAAUUAGAGGAAGUAAAAGUCGUAACAAGGUCUCCGUUGGUGAACCAGCGGAGGGAUCAUUACCGAGUUUACAACUCCCAAACCCCUGUGAACAUACCUAACGUUGCCUCGGCGGGAAAGCCCCGGGCGCUGGCGCAAGCCUCGCACCGGUACCAGGCGCCCGCCGGAGGACCCAAACCAAACUCUUGUAUUCUAAAGAAUCUUCUGAGUAACCAUAAGCAAUAAAUUAAAACUUUCAACAACGGAUCUCUUGGUUCUGGCAUCGAUGAAGAACGCAGCGAAAUGCGAUAAGUAAUGUGAAUUGCAGAAUUCAGUGAAUCAUCGAAUCUUUGAACGCACAUUGCGCCCGCCAGUACUCUGGCGGGCAUGCCUGUUCGAGCGUCAUUUCAACCCUCAAGCUCUGCUUGGUGUUGGGGAUCGGCGUAGCGCCCUCGGGCGUCGCCGUCCCCUAAAUCUAGUGGCGGUCCCGCUGUAGCCUCCUCUGCGUAGUAGUUUUCUCCUCGCACUGGAAUCUCGGCGGUGCCCUGCCGUAAAACCCCCAACUUACCGAAAUGUUGACCUCGAAUCAGGUAGGAUAUACCCGCUGAACUUAAGCAUAUCAUAGGCGGGGAGGA